This 857-nucleotide ribosomal RNA is filed under the name Triadelphia mukdahanensis. Its description in RNAcentral is "Triadelphia sp. AR-2023a partial large subunit ribosomal RNA". Lineage: Eukaryota; Fungi; Ascomycota; Sordariomycetes. The record is from RNAcentral.
AACAGGGAUUGCCUCAGUAACGGCGAGUGAAGCGGCAACAGCUCAAAUUUGAAAUCUGGCCCCCCGGGUCCGAGUUGUAAUUUGCAGAGGAUGCUUUGGGCGAGGCGCCGUUCCGAGUUCCUUGGAACGGGACGCCGUAGAGGGUGAGAGCCCCGUACGGUCGGACGCCGAGCCUCUGUAAAGCUCCUUCGACGAGUCGAGUAGUUUGGGAAUGCUGCUCUAAAUGGGAGGUAAAUCUCUUCUAAAGCUAAAUACAGGCCACAGACCGAUAGCGCACAAGUAGAGUGAUCGAAAGAUGAAAAGUACUUUGAAAAGAGAGUUAAACAGCACGUGAAAUUGUUGAAAGGGAAGCGCUUGUGACCAGACGUGUGCCGGGUAGAUCAGCUGGCGUUCGCGCCAGUGCACUCUGCCCGGCACAGGCCAGCAUCGGUUCGCCGCUGGGGAGAAAGACGGUGGGAAUGUGGCUCUUCGGAGUGUUAUAGCCCGCCGUGUAAUACCCUCCGGCGGACCGAGGUUCGCGCAUCCGCAAGGAUGCYGGCGUAAUGGUCACCAGCGACCCGUCUUGAAACACGGACCAAGGAGUCGUCCUAGUAUGCGAGUGUUUGGGUGCCAAACCCCUACGCGAAAUGAAAGUGAACGGAGGUGAGAGCUUUUAGCGCAUCAUCGACCGAUCCUGAUGUCUUCGGAUGGAUUUGAGUACGAGCAUACUGGGCCGGACCCGAAAGAAGGUGAACUAUGCCUGUAUAGGGUGAAGCCAGAGGAAACUCUGGUGGAGGCUCGCAGCGGUUCUGACGUGCAAAUCGAUCGUCAAAUAUGGGCAUGGGGGCGAAAGUAAGUAGAGAGAAUACCCAGUUCCG